AGUGAACGCUGGCGGUAGGCCUAACACAUGCCAGUCGAACGGCAGCACAGUAAGAGCUUGCUCUUACGGGUGGCGAGUGGCGGACGGGUGAGGAAUACAUCGGAAUCUACUUUUUCGUGGGGGAUAACGUAGGGAAACUUACGCUAAUACCGCAUACGACCUACGGGUGAAAGAAGGGGAUCUUCGGACCUUGCGCGAUUGAAUGAGCCGAUGUCGGAUUAGCUAGUUGGCGGGGUAAAGGCCCACCAAGGCGACGAUCCGUAGCUGGUCUGAGAGGAUGAUCGGCCACACUGGAACUGAGACACGGUCCAGACUCCUACGGGAGGCAGCAGUGGGGAAUAUUGGACAAUGGGCGCAAGCCUGAUCCAGCCAUACCGCGUGGGUGAAGAAGGCCUUCGGGUUGUAAAGCCCUUUUGUUGGGAAAGAAAAGCAGCAGGUUAAUACCCCGCUGUUCUGACGGUACCCAAAGAAUAAGCACCGGCUAACUUCGUG
RNAcentral lists this ribosomal RNA (492 nucleotides) under uncultured bacterium. RNAcentral describes it as "partial 16S ribosomal RNA". It matches the Rfam family "Bacterial small subunit ribosomal RNA", at positions 29 to 507 of the family's 1533-position model. The record is from RNAcentral.